This 711-nucleotide small RNA is filed under the name Cryptococcus neoformans H99. Its description in RNAcentral is "Cryptococcus neoformans var. grubii H99 hypothetical RNA". Lineage: Eukaryota; Fungi; Basidiomycota; Tremellomycetes; Tremellales; Cryptococcaceae. The record is from RNAcentral.
UUGCGUGUAGGACAGAAAACCAGGACGGAUUGUCCGGCUGUGUGUCUCAAAAGUAUGGGGAAGAGCUCUUUAUCGAGUCUAUUGGCGAGCGCCCAGUCAUUUCCGGUGGACUCGAUGCCGUAAGUUUCACGUUGAAGAGGAACGGGCCUGUAUUCCUCCCCGAACUACUGAGCUCGUUAGUUUACGACUAGCAUCAGAUAACAAUUAUUAACUUUAUAAACUUUGGCCAUGGGCAUAUCGUCAACUGCCAGUGCCCUCUUUUCUUUCGCGUUGAUCACUUCCCUUCCGACGAGAACCCCUCUCGACAGUUGGCCAUAUUCAUUUCUGGUCGGUCCUAGCCAACGAGCGAUGUCGUCGAUAUUUGGCACUGUUGCGCUGAGCGCCACAAAGCGUAUUCCCCUACCAAGUCCUUUCAGACGAGAUAUGACGACUUCCAAGGUGGCACCCCGGCUUUCGCGCAAGAUGUGGACCUGUGUAUCGGUCAGAAAUGAGACACUCAAUACUUGUUCUCACCUCAUCAAUCAUGAUUAAUUGCAGUCGUUGAGACAUGUUCUCUAAAUUUCGGGAUCGACGCGUCAUAGAGUCGAAUUUCUCUGGCUGUGGACUAUCAGAGCCUGCAACCAUCCCAUUCGAUUGUGGAUGUAUUGCCAUAAUCACCAGUUAUUUCGCUACCUGGUUCACCCGUUAAUGCAUUACAAAAUUGAUGACCCA